RNAcentral lists this long non-coding RNA (417 nucleotides) under Homo sapiens (human). RNAcentral describes it as "HSALNT0277531". The record is from RNAcentral. Lineage: Eukaryota; Metazoa; Chordata; Mammalia; Primates; Hominidae.
CGCGCCGCACGAUGGAGCUGGUCAGCUGUGUGAUGGGGAGCUCAGUGGCGGGCCAGUUAGGAUGAAGUAGUGGCCAUUCCAGGCCUGUCGGUCCUUGUCCAGAGUGACGUGGGCGAUGGUGGUGUUGUACUGGACACGGAGCCCCAGCGUGUCCGCGAAGUCACCCAGGUAGCGCACCAUGUCGCGGGCGUCGGGGAAGUAGGCACGCGAGUAGUGUCUGAAGAGCAGCCGGGGGUCGUGGCUGAGCAGAGAGUUCCAGUCGUGGCGGAGGUUGAACUCGGCGUUAGCCUUGCCCGUGUACCGCUUGUUGAUGCUGAUGAGCUUGCGGUGCCGCGGGUAGCGUGUGAAGAAGCUGCCGGGCCGCGGGGCCCGCUCGAACACUGCGUAGUCGCGUCCAGCGCGCUGCAGGAAGUAGGC